This is a long non-coding RNA of Sapajus apella (tufted capuchin), 251 nucleotides long. RefSeq lists it as uncharacterized. Lineage: Eukaryota; Metazoa; Chordata; Mammalia; Primates; Cebidae. The record is from RefSeq and is a predicted model, not a curated record. The transcript is spliced from 2 exons.
GCAUAUAUUAUUUUUCAAAAAUAGGAACUGGGGAGAAGGUUGGGGUUUCAUGUCUUCUGACAGAGCACUUGUCUUUGUGGAUAAACAUGACAAUCAACGAGGACAUGGGGCCGGAGGAGCUUCUAUUCUUACCGUCUGGGACGCUAGGCUGUAUAAAAUGGCAGUUGGAUUUAUGCUUGCUCAUCCUUAUGGAUUUACACGAGUGAUGUCAAGCUACCGUUGGGCAAGAUGUUUUGAAAAUGGACAAGUAA